GCAGAUGUAAUUCAAUGGUAGAAUAGAAGCUUCCCAAGCUUAUAACGGGGGUUCGAUUCCCCUCAUCUGCUCCA
This 74-nucleotide transfer RNA is filed under the name Alphaproteobacteria bacterium. Its description in RNAcentral is "tRNA-Gly". It matches the Rfam family "tRNA". From Rfam's summary of the family: Transfer RNA (tRNA) molecules are approximately 80 nucleotides in length. Their secondary structure includes four short double-helical elements and three loops (D, anti-codon, and T loops). The record is from RNAcentral. Lineage: Bacteria; Pseudomonadati; Pseudomonadota; Alphaproteobacteria.